Molecule: ribosomal RNA, 231 nt
Filed under: bacterium enrichment culture clone ALO1_GLFRUDD03GUBGK
Lineage: Bacteria
Description: partial 16S ribosomal RNA
Rfam family: Bacterial small subunit ribosomal RNA
Source: RNAcentral
GAGUUUGAUCUUGGCUCAGAUUGAACGCUGGCGGCAUGCCUUACACAUGCAAGUCGAACGGCAGCACGGGAGCUUGCUCCUGGUGGCGAGUGGCGAACGGGUGAGUAAUGCAUCGGAACGUAUCCUGGAGUGGGGGAUAACGUAGCGAAAGUUACGCUAAUACCGCAUAUUCUGUGAGCAGGAAAGCGGGGGACCUUCGGGCCUCGCGCUCUUGGAGCGGCCGAUGUCGGA